CUACGGGUCGCACCAGUGAGGAAUAUUGCACAAUGGGGGGAACCCUGAUGCGGCAACGCCGCGUGGAGGAUGACGCAUUUCGGUGUGUAAACUCCUUUUAUAUGUCAAGAAAAUGACGGUAGCAUAUGAAUAAGCACCGGCUAACUCCGAGCCAGCAGCCGCGGUAAUACGGAGGGUGCAAGCGUUACUCGGAAUCACUGGGCGUAAAGGACGCGUAGGCGGGGUGGAAAGUCAGGUGUGAAAUCCUACAGCUUAACUGCAGAACUGCACUUGAAACUUCUAAUCUAGAGUAUGGGAGGGGGAGAUGGAAUUAGUGGUGUAGGGGUAAAAUCCGUAGAUAUCACUAGGAAUACCUAAAGCGAAGGCGAUCUCCUGGAACAUUACUGACGCUAAGGCGUGAAAGCGUGGGGAGCAAACAGGAUUAGAUACCCCCGUAGUC
This 439-nucleotide ribosomal RNA is filed under the name uncultured bacterium. Its description in RNAcentral is "partial 16S ribosomal RNA". It matches the Rfam family "Bacterial small subunit ribosomal RNA", at positions 339 to 795 of the family's 1533-position model. The record is from RNAcentral.